This 63-nucleotide non-coding RNA is filed under the name unclassified sequences. RNAcentral's name for it is "RAGATH-18 RNA". It matches the Rfam family "RAGATH-18 RNA". From Rfam's summary of the family: Actinobacteria, Firmicutes, Fusobacteria, Thermotogae (1 example). Nearby to self-cleaving ribozyme genes The record is from Rfam by way of RNAcentral.
CCCUGGGAGUAUCACACAAACUCAAGUAGCCAUUAGGUGAAAGAGGAUAUGUUGAAUAGGGAA